CACAGAACUGCUCCUUCACCAUCAAGCUGUUUACACCCACAGAACUGCUCCAUCACCCACAACAUGUUUACACCCACCGAACUGCUCCUUCACCCACAGAACUGCUCCUUCAUCCACAGAACUGCUCCUUCACCCACAGAACUGCUCCUUCAUCCACAGAACUGCUCCUUCAUCCACAGAACUGCUCCUUCACCAACAAGGUGUUUACACCCACAGAACUGCUCCUUCACCCACAGAACUGCUCCUUCAUCCACAGAACUGCUCCUUCACCCACAGAACUGCUCCUUCACCCACAGAACUGCUCCUUCAUCCACAGAACUGCUCCUUCACCCACAGAACUGCUCCUUCACCAACAAGGUGUUUACACCCACAGAACUGCUCCAUCACCCACAA
Long non-coding RNA from Ictalurus punctatus (channel catfish), 393 nucleotides. The record is from Ensembl. NCBI's taxonomy places the organism in Eukaryota, Metazoa, Chordata, Actinopteri, Siluriformes, Ictaluridae.